This 73-nucleotide transfer RNA is filed under the name Thermoplasmatales archaeon. RNAcentral describes it as "tRNA-Asn". It matches the Rfam family "tRNA". Rfam says of the family: Transfer RNA (tRNA) molecules are approximately 80 nucleotides in length. Their secondary structure includes four short double-helical elements and three loops (D, anti-codon, and T loops). Further hydrogen bonds mediate the characteristic L-shaped molecular structure. tRNAs have two regions of fundamental functional importance: the anti-codon, which is responsible for specific mRNA codon recognition, and the 3' end, to which the tRNAs corresponding amino acid is attached (by aminoacyl-tRNA synthetases). tRNAs cope with the degeneracy of the genetic code in two manners: having more than one tRNA (with a specific anti-codon) for a particular amino acid; and 'wobble' base-pairing, i.e. permitting non-standard base-pairing at the 3rd anti-codon position. The record is from RNAcentral. Lineage: Archaea; Methanobacteriati; Thermoplasmatota; Thermoplasmata; Thermoplasmatales.
GCCGUCUUAGCUCAGUUGGUAGAGCACUCGGCUGUUAACCGAGCGGUCGCCGGUUCGAAUCCGGCAGACGGCG